RNAcentral lists this small RNA (336 nucleotides) under Debaryomyces hansenii. Its description in RNAcentral is "partial transfer-messenger RNA". The record is from RNAcentral. Lineage: Eukaryota; Fungi; Ascomycota; Pichiomycetes; Serinales; Debaryomycetaceae.
CAUUAAUAACAAAUGCAAAAGAUGAUUCUUUGUUUGCUGCUUUCGGUAACAUGGGUGGCUACAUGCAGCCAGUUGGCCAAGUGCAACAUGUCUUGAAUUUAUGUGUCUUUGGUUUCACACCUCAACAUCUGAUCGAUCUGCCAAGAUUUUGUCUCAAUGCAACAAAAGAUAAAAUAGGCUCAGACAGGGGUAGAGGUAGUGAUGGUCCAGUAUCAACUGCUGUGACAGAAGUUGCAUUAGAGGAUGGAAUUGAUCAAAGUGUUGUCGAAGAAUUAUCUAAAUUGGGACAUACUACUAAGCUCGUAACAGGUUACAAUAGAAGGAUCUUCGGACGUG